This 540-nucleotide ribosomal RNA is filed under the name uncultured bacterium. RNAcentral's name for it is "bacterial SSU rRNA". It matches the Rfam family "Bacterial small subunit ribosomal RNA", at positions 355 to 895 of the family's 1533-position model. The record is from RNAcentral.
UGAGGAAUAUUGGUCAAUGGACGGAAGUCUGAACCAGCCAAGUAGCGUGCAGGAUGACGGCCCUAUGGGUUGUAAACUGCUUUUGUAUGGGGAUAAAGUUAGGGACGUGUCCCUAUUUGCAGGUACCAUACGAAUAAGGACCGGCUAAUUCCGUGCCAGCAGCCGCGGUAAUACGGAAGGUCCAGGCGUUAUCCGGAUUUAUUGGGUUUAAAGGGAGCGUAGGCUGGAGAUUAAGUGUGUUGUGAAAUGUAGACGCUCAACGUCUGAAUUGCAGCGCAUACUGGUUUCCUUGAGUACGCACAACAUUGGCGGAAUUCGUCGUGUAGCGGUGGAAUNUGCUUAGAUAUGACGAAGAACUCCGAUUGCGAAGGCAGCUGACGGGAGCGCAACUGACGCUUAAGCUCGAAGGUGCGGGUAUCNNCAGGAUUAGAUACCCUGGUAGUCCGCACAGUAAACGAUGGAUGCCCGCUGUUGGUACCUGGUAUCAGCGGCUAAGCGAAAGCAUUAAGCAUCCCACCUGGGGAGUACGCCCGGNNCGGU